This 448-nucleotide ribosomal RNA is filed under the name uncultured bacterium. Its description in RNAcentral is "partial 16S ribosomal RNA". It matches the Rfam family "Bacterial small subunit ribosomal RNA", at positions 29 to 523 of the family's 1533-position model. The record is from RNAcentral.
AACGAACGCUGGCGGCAGGCCUAACACAUGCAAGUCGAACGCCCUGGCAACAGGGAGUGGCAGACGGGUGAGUAACGCGUGGGAACGUGCCCUUCGGUUCGGAAUAACUCAGGGAAACUUGAGCUAAUACCGAAUACGUGCGAGAGCAGAAAGAUUUGUCGCCGAAGGAUCGGCCCGCGUCCGAUUAGCUAGUUGGUGGGGUAAUGGCUCACCAAGGCGACGAUCGGUAGCUGGUCUGAGAGGAUGAUCAGCCACACUGGGACUGAGACACGGCCCAGACUCCUACGGGAGGCAGCAGUGGGGAAUAUUGGACAAUGGGCGCAAGCCUGAUCCAGCCAUGCCGCGUGAGUGAUGAAGGCCCUAGGGUUGUAAAGCUCUUUCGCCAGGGACGAUAAUGACGGUACUGGAUAAGAAGCCCCGGCUAACUUCGUGCCAGCCGCCGCGGUAA